UCAUUAUUAUUAAUUUCAACACUUCGUGACUUUUAAGUUACAGAUUUAACAAGACAAACCCUAUCCUUUGACUUGGUGGGUUGAAAGAAACAUAUUUUACAAUGGAUGGAGAGCAGAGGGUAGUGAGAAUUGGAAUGAAUUUUAACAUCCAACGAUCAGAUGGCUGGAAAUGAACGUGGAGCAGACACUUCCAGUUCAAAUAGACAGACGAGAAUGGAAGGAGCAGAAAUUAACAAGAGUUUACUAGCACUGAAGGCAGGUUGACAUAGUCAAGGAAUUGGGAGUAGAAAAUAGAGAUAUUUUGUGUAAUGGGGAAUGGAAAACUUCUCCUGUUAAUGAUGAUUUUGCCCUUCUUCAUUCUAUAAAUAAAGAGGAACUAUCGGAUAACCUAAUGUUUUUUCAUACAGCUGUGUCUCAUCUACAGAAAUUAGAAGAUGAACUUUUGGAUGCACACAAAAACAUUACUGAAUCCACUGAGAAAUGGUUUCAAAAUGAUAGAGCUGCUUACAAUGGCAAAUGAAGUGGAUUAUGAUGUAGAUGCAUAUUCUCAACAAUUGGAAGAUUUGCUUGCAGAAAAGUUAGGCAGAUUAGGCAAGCUUAAAGAAAAAGUAAAGUUGUUUCGACAACAACUUGCUGAGGAAGAAAAUAUUAGUAGGACAAUAACUGAAGACCUUGAAAAAUAUGCAAAGCAUUGAGAAAAAAAAAAGAAAUAAUCAGUGUAAUAGUUCUGGAGAAUAUGUUUUAACCACUGUUUCUGUUGUCCACUAAUGUGGCUGCUUCCCCUGCCAUAAUGAUCUCUUGUUAGUAAUGAAUGUAUAGAGAAAGACUUAUCUUUAUAAUUACUAUUAUAGUUGUGUAUUUUAUUUUAUGCUCAAUACAAAAAUACCCCUUUUCUGACAUCCAGGAAAUGGUACACAGACAUGGUAAUUAAAUAUACUUCCUUAGUAAUUUUCAGAAACUUACCUAGUGAUAAAAGGUAAUCAAAUGUUAUCAUAUGUGUUCUAAAAACUUUUGAAAGAAUAGUGAAAGUCCCUUCUGUUUUGAAAGGCUAAAUGAUCAGAUAUGUUGUUGCAUCCUCAAUCUUUUAAUUGUUCACAAAUUUUAUUCUGGGGAGUGUCACAUCAUAUUCACAUUUAUCCAUACAGUCAUUUUUCAUUUAUGUAUGCAUUAUUCUAAGUAUUCAAGUUUAGUUUUGUAAUUAACAUUAUGAAAUUUCAACGGGCAAUACUGUACAGGCUAUUUGCGUGUAAUGUGUGCCAUAAGCUGAUGUAAUCAAUACAUAUUGCUAUUAUCUGUUAUGUUAAUGUUUUACAUCUUAUUGUGUAUGGAUUAAAAGCUUGUAUGAUAUUUAAUUAUUGUAAAAUACACAAAAUUCUUCUUUGUUUUAUGAGUGUUCUGUGAAAAUAGAAAGAAUGAGUAUGCUGUAUAGACUAAUUUUACUUAUUUUCAAUUUAUCAAAAUAAUGUAUUUCAUUUGUAGAUGCUAUGGUAAAGCUAAAUAUAUGUCAGAAAUUUUCAAAGAUUUCAGAAUGCAAUUAAUACUAAUUCUUUAAAACCUAUUUGAAAAGUUCUAGAAUGGACAUUACUUUAAACAUAAAUUGUUAUAGCUUAAAUGUAGUUUUUUUAACACUGAUGACUGAAUAUUUCACCUACUAAGGAGGAUUGGGUGACAUUGUGGCUUGAAAAAUAAGAGAUGCUGUUGUUUGUACCAUUAAACCAUUAAUUUAAGAAAUGAGCAUGAUGUUGGCACAAUAAUUACAUUACAUGAAAACAUUAUUUAGAAGGAAGGAAGCAAUGGUUUCUAAAUUGUAUUUCAUCCAAAGUUUUUUUUUUUUUGACCAAUGGUUCUUUUGUCACAUAUUUUAUUUGUAAUAUUGUAUAUACAACUGUUAUAUUAUUUUUUUAUUGAAUACAAUACUCGGUUCAGUUUAGUUAUUUAAUGAACUACGAUCUAGAUCAUAAAAUCUAAGUCAGUACUUCACAAAAUGGUUUUACUUUAUCUUCAUGUAGUACAUAUUGAAGAACGCUUUCACAUUUGUAAAAGAUAGCAUCAUAAAGAAGUUUGAAUUUAUUAUUAAUUUCUGUAGUUGAUGAUGUUUUAUACAUGUUGGUAUGGUAAUUGAUUCUUUUAUUUUUCUCUUGAGUAUAUGAUGCUGUUGCUAAGUCUCUUAGCACCUUUUUGAUAUCGCCAGGACAUUGGGUUUCACUUGUGUAUUUUUAUUUUAACACACAUGUGACAUUGUAUACUACAUUUUUCCUAUUUUGUUUAGUCAGGAGUGAUGUCUUUUAUCAAGCUAUCACAUAAGUUUUAGAGCUUUUGAAGUUUAUCUGGAAGUUAAAGGUGUUUGUAAUCUUUCUUAUUUUUUCCUAGUCAUGGGAUAUGGUAAAAUGUUCUUUUGUUUAUCCCGAAUAUUAAUGGAUGUUUCUGAUAGCUUAUUAAAUGUUCUUGUGUUUGUCUUAAGGGUUAGUGGAUGUUUUUCUGAUAGCUUAUUAAAUGUUCUUGUGUUUAUCUUGAUUAUUAAUGUAUGUUUCCGAUGGCUUAUUUAUAGAGUUUUUUUUACUAAUUUAUUUGAAUUGCUUUAGCUCAGUUUCAACAACCUCAUUAUUAGAUAUCCUUGUCACCUUCCAUGCUGUUUUAAAGUUGUAUGUUUGAUGUUGUAGUGAAAGAAGAGAAAUACUAAUUUCAAACAAACCACCAUUCAGUUCUUUCCCUCCUAAUACACCACCUCAUGGCUUAGUAGUAAGUCAGCAGGCUUAUGACACUAAAAAUCAAGUUUUGAUAUCUGUAGUGGGCACAACAAGAUAACCCAGUGGUAUGCAGAGCUCAGAUGACCCAUUGUGUAACUUUGUGUUCAACAUACCAAACCCUCCUAAUAUUGAAAAGAAAAUAAAGAAGCGUGUUUUUUUAUCUUAAUUAUUACUGUAUAUGUUUUAAGCCAAUGUGAUAAUUAUGAAUUAAUUGCUGUAUUAGUUAACAAUAUAGUAUGAAAAACAAAAACAUUUUUAUUUAAAAUAACAGACUCACCUAACAAAAUGUACACACAUUAACUAACAAAUAUUUUGUAUGAACCUGUUAACAUUUAUAAGUAUCAUUUCUUAAAGGUCCAUCAAAUGAAAAUAACCAUCUUACAAAUAAGAAUAGCUUACUCCUAUUAGUCAGUUUUGUAACUUAAUCUUCCAGCUAUAUAAAAGCAAAUUAAAUCAUUAUCAUUAAGCUGAUAAUUAUGUGGUUUAAAAAUUAUGUACUUUUUUUCAGUGCACAGGUUUGUUAGACUAGUCAUUGUACUUGUUACAGAUGGAGUAAUGUGUUGUGCAUAAUAUUUGUUUUAGAAAUACACAUGGUUUUCUUAUGUAAUGUUAUAAAUUAUCAAAUUAUAUGUACAUUUAAGAAUUACAGAACAUUUCAAAAAUAAGACUAUACAAGCAUCACACAACAAUUGUCAUGGUUGUUCAUACAGAUUUAUUGUUCUGGAUCAGCAGUUCUCAACCUAAUUUUUUUUGGCUCGAGACCCAAUUGUAAACAUUGAUGGUCAGUCACAGUCCAGUAAAUGGCUUUAAUGCAAAACAUAUCUGACUUACUAAAUAAAUAAAUUACUAUCUAUUUUCAAAGUCUGUUUGCAAAUGUAUUACACAUUCUGACAACCAUAUUUUGGGUUGUGAAAUGCUGUUUUAGAAAACUAAAAAUUCGUAAUCUCUGUAACAACAGAAUAUAUCUCAUAACAACCUACUUAUACUUGAAAGAUAAGUUCAUAAUGAUUUAGUAAUAUUUAUUGUUAUUUAUUUAUAGAAUUUGCCUCAUAAAGUCAUUUGACUGAACUGUUUUUGUGCUUUUUUGCUAAUCUUAAUAACAAUGCCUGCUUUAUUUAUGUAUGCUUGUGUAAGGCAUUAGAAAUAUGAAUACUAUUUUGUUGUUACUCUAAGUAGGCAGAGUUGGAAAAUGUAGUGAUUUUGAAAGCUUAUGAAAUUAUCUACAUGGUUAUGUACUAUGCCAUAUUAAUUGGUUUACUUUCAAGUGUACUACCAAAGUUAACAAAAAUCUAUAAAAAUGCUUGAGCAACAUUUAUUUUAGCAAUGCUUGAAUUAAAAUUUUCAAGAAUCCCUUUUAUCUCAUGCUAAGCACUGGGCUAGGCAUAGCCUAGUGGUUAGCAUGCUGGACUGCAGAUCUUUUCAUCUGUUAGCUAAUUAUUAUAAAAGUGUCAGUAAAUCCCCUUAUUCAUUUGAAAGAUCCAGAUGAAUGCUGCUGGCUUUGAUAUGUAAUUCAAAGUUAGUAAUGGCUAUACCUGAACCCUCCUAUGACCUGGUUGUUUAGCCCAAAUUAAGCAUUUAAAAUGCUUAAUUUACAUGUGUAAAAAUGUAGGUGUAUAUAUACAAGUAAAAAGUGUUAUUAUUCAAAGAUGUCUCUGUGUGUGUGUGUGUGUGUGUUAAAAUUAUUUAUGUACAUAAUGUUUUUUGUUUAAAUGUUAAUACUAGUCAAUAAAACCAAAUAAACCCUGAUUUUAGUAAAACUUUGAAUACUGAAAAACCAGGCAUAUCUGUUGAGUUAUUCUUAAAUGAUGAUGCCAGUAACAACAAAUAUAUAGUCAGCAAUCUUGUUACGAAUCAGUAUAGUUUCAACUUGUACCAGAAGUUGAUGCCAUAUAGACUAUAGCUCUUCCUUAAGUAAAGCUAAAUAUUACUUCUCUUGAGAGUUAGAUGCUGUGAUGGUUUUCACUUUUUGUUUCUAUAACCCAAACUUAGCGAAAUUGAUCAAAUUAUUUAGAUUUGGAUCUUGAUGCUUUCUUACUGCUAAUGUAGUGUUGAUAUUUCAAAAGCUUUUAACAGGCCUUGUGUUGCUUUUCACAGUGUAACAAGAUGUAAAAUAAUAAAUGUUAAUAAAAUUAAUAAAACUUCA
Limulus polyphemus (Atlantic horseshoe crab) is the source of this 4890-nucleotide RNA transcript. It is a transcript of the gene named kinesin-like protein KIF2A, with no coding region annotated. NCBI's taxonomy places the organism in Eukaryota, Metazoa, Arthropoda, Merostomata, Xiphosura, Limulidae. The record is from RefSeq and is a predicted model, not a curated record. The transcript is spliced from 7 exons.